This 1455-nucleotide ribosomal RNA is filed under the name Streptococcus thermophilus. Its description in RNAcentral is "bacterial SSU rRNA". It matches the Rfam family "Bacterial small subunit ribosomal RNA". The record is from RNAcentral. Lineage: Bacteria; Bacillati; Bacillota; Bacilli; Lactobacillales; Streptococcaceae.
GCGUGCCUAAUACAUGCAAGUAGAACGCUGAAGAGAGGAGCUUGCUCUUCUUGGAUGAGUUGCGAACGGGUGAGUAACGCGUAGGUAACCUGCCUUGUAGCGGGGGAUAACUAUUGGAAACGAUAGCUAAUACCGCAUAACAAUGGAUGACACAUGUCAUUUAUUUGAAAGGGGCAAUUGCUCCACUACAAGAUGGACCUGCGUUGUAUUAGCUAGUAGGUGAGGUAAUGGCUCACCUAGGCGACGAUACAUAGCCGACCUGAGAGGGUGAUCGGCCACACUGGGACUGAGACACGGCCCAGACUCCUACGGGAGGCAGCAGUAGGGAAUCUUCGGCAAUGGGGGCAACCCUGACCGAGCAACGCCGCGUGAGUGAAGAAGGUUUUCGGAUCGUAAAGCUCUGUUGUAAGUCAAGAACGGGUGUGAGAGUGGAAAGUUCACACUGUGACGGUAGCUUACCAGAAAGGGACGGCUAACUACGUGCCAGCAGCCGCGGUAAUACGUAGGUCCCGAGCGUUGUCCGGAUUUAUUGGGCGUAAAGCGAGCGCAGGCGGUUUGAUAAGUCUGAAGUUAAAGGCUGUGGCUCAACCAUAGUUCGCUUUGGAAACUGUCAAACUUGAGUGCAGAAGGGGAGAGUGGAAUUCCAUGUGUAGCGGUGAAAUGCGUAGAUAUAUGGAGGAACACCGGUGGCGAAAGCGGCUCUCUGGUCUGUAACUGACGCUGAGGCUCGAAAGCGUGGGGAGCGAACAGGAUUAGAUACCCCUGGUAGUCCACGCCGUAAACGAUGAGUGCUAGGUGUUGGAUCCUUUCCGGGAUUCAGUGCCGCAGCUAACGCAUUAAGCACUCCGCCUGGGGAGUACGACCGCAAGGUUGAAACUCAAAGGAAUUGACGGGGGCCCGCACAAGCGGUGGAGCAUGUGGUUUAAUUCGAAGCAACGCGAAGAACCUUACCAGGUCUUGACAUCCCGAUGCUAUUUCUAGAGAUAGAAAGUUACUUCGGUACAUCGGUGACAGGUGGUGCAUGGUUGUCGUCAGCUCGUGUCGUGAGAUGUUGGGUUAAGUCCCGCAACGAGCGCAACCCCUAUUGUUAGUUGCCAUCAUUCAGUUGGGCACUCUAGCGAGACUGCCGGUAAUAAACCGGAGGAAGGUGGGGAUGACGUCAAAUCAUCAUGCCCCUUAUGACCUGGGCUACACACGUGCUACAAUGGUUGGUACAACGAGUUGCGAGUCGGUGACGGCGAGCUAAUCUCUUAAAGCCAAUCUCAGUUCGGAUUGUAGGCUGCAACUCGCCUACAUGAAGUCGGAAUCGCUAGUAAUCGCGGAUCAGCACGCCGCGGUGAAUACGUUCCCGGGCCUUGUACACACCGCCCGUCACACCACGAGAGUUUGUAACACCCGAAGUCGGUGAGGUAACCUUUUGGAGCCAGCCGCCUAAGGUGGGACAGAUGAUUGGGG